RNAcentral lists this ribosomal RNA (453 nucleotides) under uncultured Porphyromonadaceae bacterium. RNAcentral describes it as "partial 16S ribosomal RNA". It matches the Rfam family "Bacterial small subunit ribosomal RNA", at positions 341 to 792 of the family's 1533-position model. The record is from RNAcentral. Lineage: Bacteria; Pseudomonadati; Bacteroidota; Bacteroidia; Bacteroidales; Porphyromonadaceae.
ACGGGAGGCAGCAGUGAGGAAUAUUGGUCAAUGGGCGGAAGCCUGAACCAGCCAAGUCGCGUGAAGGAUGAAGGUAUUAUGUAUUGUAAACUUCUUUAGACGUAGAGAAAUAAGGGGAUCGUGAUCCCUGAUGCUAGUAUACGUAGAAUAAGGAUCGGCUAACUCCGUGCCAGCAGCCGCGGUAAUACGGAGGAUCCGAGCGUUAUCCGGAUUUAUUGGGUUUAAAGGGUGCGCAGGCGGUCGUUUAAGUCAGUGGUCAAAUCGUGAGGCUCAACCUCAUCCCGCCAUUGAUACUGGAUGACUUGAUUUCGGCCGAGGUAGGCGGAAUUCGUCGUGUAGCGGUGAAAUGCAUAGAUAUGACGAAGAACCCCGAUUGCGUAGGCAGCUUACCAGACCGACAAUGACGCUCAUGCACGAAAGUGCGGGGAUCGAACAGGAUUAGAUACCCUGGUA